RNAcentral lists this ribosomal RNA (253 nucleotides) under uncultured bacterium. RNAcentral's name for it is "partial 16S ribosomal RNA". It matches the Rfam family "Bacterial small subunit ribosomal RNA", at positions 524 to 776 of the family's 1533-position model. The record is from RNAcentral.
UACGAAGGGGGCUAGCGUUGCUCGGAAUUACUGGGCGUAAAGGGCGCGUAGGCGGACAGUUUAGUAAGAGGUGAAAGCCCAGGGCUCAACCUUGGAAUUGCCUUUGAUACUGGCUGUCUUGAGUUCGGGAGAGGUGAGUGGAAUGCCGAGUGUAGAGGUGAAAUUCGUAGAUAUUCGGCGGAACACCAGUGGCGAAGGCGACUCACUGGCCCGAUACUGACGCUGAGGCGCGAAAGCGUGGGGAGCAAACAGG